This 1312-nucleotide long non-coding RNA is filed under the name Gorilla gorilla gorilla (western lowland gorilla). RNAcentral's name for it is "lncRNA (ENSGGOG00000044542.1)". The record is from RNAcentral. Lineage: Eukaryota; Metazoa; Chordata; Mammalia; Primates; Hominidae.
UGAUGUCAAUGUGGCUGGUCCAAGAAUCACACUUUGAGAACCACUGCUUUCGGCCAGUCUCCAUGAGAGAAAGUUCCCAACCUCUGACUAUCAGAUCCACAAUACGCCCCAGCCUCUGGAGGACACAGAGAGAAUGGAAGUCAUGGAGAAGAAAAGAGAAAAGUGUCAGAGGACCAGGAUAUACCCUCAGGACUAGCACUGUGCCUGCCGUAGAACGGGGCCUGCUCAGUGUUUUUUGGGUUGAGCUGCAUCUUAGAAUGAAAUCCUACAACUGAGGUGGCUAAAGGAAUUAAAAAUGGUAUCUGUAAUGUUAAAUUUCAGACUGCUGCACAAUACAUCAGUUUUAGGUACUUUUUAAAAGAUGAACAAGUACAAGACUUCAAAGAAGUCUCUCCCUUGUGAAGGGUCCCUUCCGGCUUCAGUUUAGAGUCUCUGCACUUUUAGUUCAUCUCAUUUGGGUGUUUCAAGGGAACAGAGAAGCCCUGGUUUAGAUGAUGUAAGGUUUUCUGAUGCCAAAGUGAGAAUGAUAAAAUGUCUGAAGGAAGAACACGAUGCUAUGCAUUCCAGGCAGAAUCUGGACUUGAAAACAACGAAGCACAAAUGCUUUUAGAUGAACUGAUUCACUUUUAUUUUGUAAACAUCCUAGAAGAAUUCCAUUUGCACUGAACUGUUUGAACCACUGCAGAGCUCUUGGUCCUUCUAAUCCCCAAGGAAAGUCGAUCCAUCGCGUCCUGCUACACUUUAUUUCUCCACUUUGCCCCUUUUCUCAAUUCUUUGUGAUCAGCAUAAAGUUUGAACCGUGCCUGUUCUCGCCUUCGUGCCUGGCCACCUGUCCAGCCCUGCGGUCAGCUGUACUGACCAGCAGACGGUGGUGCCUCUCUUGCCAAGUGGAGCCGAUGCUCUGUGACCAUUGUUCGUGGGGCCACACUGCCAUCCCCAUCGUUGCCCCUUCAAGACACUCGUCAACAGCUGUAAGAGGCUUCCCAUCCUCGCCCGUAUAAAAGGAAGGCCUGAAAACACUUCUCGGAGCAUCAGUUCAUAGGUCACCGCAACCGGCCGAACAAUACGCGAUUAUUCAACGGGCUCCAAUUCAUUUUCCUCUGCUCCUCCCCCACCGUUACCCUUGAGAGAAAACUAAUUUGCAGAAAAAUAGCCUCUGCCAGCCAACUUCUUCUCCUAAAUGUAUGCUGACCCCGAACUCUUGUCUCAGUGGGUCCUUAUUCUCAUAGUCAAUGCACAGGAGUUCUGAAAAGCAGUCUUCUCCUUUAAAAACCUCCCCCACCCCCCAGCAUCUCAGUCUGGGAGAUGGUUU